RNAcentral lists this long non-coding RNA (295 nucleotides) under Mytilus galloprovincialis (Mediterranean mussel). Lineage: Eukaryota; Metazoa; Mollusca; Bivalvia; Mytilida; Mytilidae. The record is from RNAcentral.
AUUGCUUCCAGUAUCCAGCAAUACUGAUGUUUCUUAAAGUAAGGAAAUUGAAGGAAAACGGGUGAUUUUUAGUAAUAUUGAGAAAAAAAAUCCGCGGUCACAAUGUAUUUAAUGUUAAUAAUUAUAGGUCAAACAACGGUCUUCAAGACGGAGCCUUGGCUCACCCCGAACAGCAAUCUCAGCUUGUUUUUGCAUAAAAAAUGUUUCCAGGUUCAAGCAAUACUGAUGUUUCUUAAAGUAAGGAAAUGGAAGGAAAACGGGUCAUUUUAAGCCAUUUUACUGCGCCCCCCAACCC